AGAGUUUGAUCCUGGCUCAGGAUGAACGCUAGCUACAGGCUUAACACAUGCAAGUCGAGGGGAAACGAUAUUGGAAGCUUGCUUCCGAUAGGCGUCGACCGGCGCACGGGUGAGUAACGCGUAUCCAACCUGCCCACCACUUGGGGAUAACCUUGCGAAAGUAAGACUAAUACCCAAUGAUAUCUCUAGAAGACAUCUGAAAGAGAUUAAAGACUUAUCGGUGAUGGAUGGGGAUGCGUCUGAUUAGCUUGUUGGCGGGUAACGGCCCACCAAGGCAACGAUCAGUAGGGGCUCUGAGAGGAAGGUCCCCCACAUUGGAACUGAGACACGGUCCAAACUCCUACGGGAGGCAGCA
Molecule: ribosomal RNA, 355 nt
Filed under: uncultured bacterium
Lineage: Bacteria
Description: bacterial SSU rRNA
Rfam family: Bacterial small subunit ribosomal RNA
Source: RNAcentral